GUGCCGUUUCCGUGCUUCAUAGGUAAAAAAUAACUUUACCUAGAAGAAUCGAGGACUGGUAACUAGAUAUUAGAUUAGUAAUAUCUAGAAAAGUUUAAUCAAUAUUAUUGCCAAAUCAAAUUCUAACAAUUAGGUCAUUAUUCCUCUUUUUUUUGUUCCCCCUUCUGUAAGGAGAACAACUGUAAUAUCUGGCCUAUAAGUGCUUACUGCUCCCCUGAGUAGUAAAGCAGUUACAAAUCAAGAUGAUUAGUGAUCCUUGUUGCUUCAUUCUUUUAUAGAUCAAUAAAAAUCUUCAUAUGGAUUUUUUUAUUGGUUUUGUCACAAAAAUCCCUAUAUUUGUAACUUGCAGGCAAAGAAAAGGAAACCAACAAAGAGAUAUCACAUGAGAGAUUUAUGCAGUUUGGGUUUUAGCAUAUGUCCAAAAGUCAAGUAUGACACAAAUUUCAACACUAAAACCAGAGACCAGAGAUUACAAGUAGUAUCUCUCUUAAUUUCUUUUCUUGUCACAAGGCCAAUAAAUCAAUCUAUAGAAAGCUUUAUUUGGGUUAACCGACCAAAUUGGGGUAUAGCCAUAAUUCACAUCCAAUCUAACAGUUAUUGCAAAUUAGGGCACAAACACCUUAUGUCUAUAUUUAUCUUCAAUUCUAUUGUGCAGUCUAAGUUCUAGAUUAGUUACUAUGGCCGUUACUGAGUUUUUCCCAUAGUAAUCGCCCAAAUGCAUGUCCAGGGAAUCAAUGAUGGAUGGCCUGAAGGUUGUAGGUUAAAAUAUUAAAUGAUCGAAAUACUAUUUGCAAGACCUCAAAAGAGAAGAAUGAUAGUAUUCAAUAGUAAAGUGAUUCAUAUUUCCACUAUCAAUUGUCUGUAUCCUUUGCAGAAGAAUGGAACAAGCUAUACUAAUCAGAGGGGUAUAAGAAAAGGAAGUUCUACCUUUACAAGUAUAAUUGCAAUGAAAAUGCAAAAGCAAAAUUCAAAAAAUAGUCCCUUGAAACAACGAAAGCAUCAUCCUAAAUUCAAGAAUGUAAUCCAAUACUAUGCAGCAAUAAAAUAAAAGAGCCACUAACAUUCUUUUUCAAAAUCUCAUGUAAAAGUGGAUAUGGGCUGACCU
This 1105-nucleotide unclassified non-coding RNA is filed under the name Hevea brasiliensis (rubber tree). The record is from RNAcentral. Lineage: Eukaryota; Viridiplantae; Streptophyta; Magnoliopsida; Malpighiales; Euphorbiaceae.